GAUGAACUGGAGCUUGCUCCAGGGAUUAGUGGCGAACGGGUGAGUAACACGUGAGUAACCUGCCCUUGACUCUGGGAUAAGCGCUAGAAAUGGCGUCUAAUACCGGAUACGAGCUUCAGCCGCAUGGCUAGGAGUUGGAAAGAAUUUUGGUCAAGGAUGGACUCGCGGCCUAUCAGCUAGUUGGUGAGGUAAUGGCUCACCAAGGCGACGACGGGUAGCCGGCCUGAGAGGGUGACCGGCCACACUGGGACUGAGACACGGCCCAGACUCCUACGGGAGGCAGCAGUGGGGAAUAUUGCACAAUGGGCGAAAGCCUGAUGCAGCAACGCCGCGUGAGGGAUGACGGCCUUCGGGUUGUAAACCUCUUUUAGUAGGGAAGAAGCGAAAGUGACGGUACCUGCAGAAAAAGCACCGGCUAACUACGUGCCAGCAGCCGCGGUAAUACGUAGGGUGCAAGCGUUGUCCGGAAUUAUUGGGCGUAAAGAGCUCGUAGGCGGUUUGUCGCGUCUGCUGUGAAAUCUGGGGGCUCAACCCCCAGCCUGCAGUGGGUACGGGCAGACUAGAGUGCGGUAGGGGAGAUUGGAAUUCCUGGUGUAGCGGUGGAAUGCGCAGAUAUCAGGAGGAACACCGAUGGCGAAGGCAGAUCUCUGGGCCGUAACUGACGCUGAGGAGCGAAAGCAUGGGGAGCGAACAGGAUUAGAUACCCUGGUAGUCCAUGCCGUAAACGUUGGGAACUAGAUGUGGGGGCC
This 749-nucleotide ribosomal RNA is filed under the name Frigoribacterium sp. RNAcentral describes it as "bacterial SSU rRNA". It matches the Rfam family "Bacterial small subunit ribosomal RNA", at positions 68 to 830 of the family's 1533-position model. The record is from RNAcentral. Lineage: Bacteria; Bacillati; Actinomycetota; Actinomycetes; Micrococcales; Microbacteriaceae.